This 292-nucleotide ribosomal RNA is filed under the name uncultured bacterium. RNAcentral's name for it is "partial 16S ribosomal RNA". RNAcentral also lists the same sequence under 2 other names. The record is from RNAcentral.
GGACUACCCGGGUUUCUAAUCCCGUUCGCUCCCCUGGCUUUCGCGCCUCAGCGUCAGAAAGGGUCCAGCAUCUCGCCUUCGCCACCGGAGUUCCAGCCGAUAUCAACGCAUUUCACCGCUCCACCGGCUGUUCCAGAUGCCCCUACCCUCCUCGAGACCGGAAGUAUCCACGGCAGUUCCCCAGUUAAGCUGAGGUAUUUCACCGCAGACUAUCCGACCCGCCUACGCGCCCUUUAAGCCCAGUGAUUCCGAAUAACGUUUGCACGGUUCGUCUUACCGCGGCUGCUGGCAC